Molecule: ribosomal RNA, 453 nt
Filed under: uncultured bacterium
Lineage: Bacteria
Description: bacterial SSU rRNA
Rfam family: Bacterial small subunit ribosomal RNA
Source: RNAcentral
UACGGAAGGAGCAGUGGGGAAUAUUGCACAAUGGGCGCAAGCCUGAUGCAGCCAUGCCGCGUGUAUGAAGAAGGCCUUCGGGUUGUAAAGUACUUUCAGUCGUGAGGAAGGUGUUAAGGUUAAUAACCUUAGCAAUUGACGUUAGCGACAGAAGAAGCACCGGCUAACUCCGUGCCAGCAGCCGCGGUAAUACGGAGGGUGCGAGCGUUAAUCGGAAUUACUGGGCGUAAAGGGCACGCAGGCGGUUAAUUAAGUUGGAUGUGAAAUCCCCGGGCUUAACCUGGGAAUGGCAUUCAAGACUGGUUAGCUAGAGUCUUGUAGAGGGGGUUAGAAUUCCAUGUGUAGCGGUGAAAUGCGUAGAGAUGUGGAGGAAUACCGGUGGCGAAGGCGGCCCCUGGACAAAGACUGACGCUCAUGUGCGAAAGCGUGGGGAGCAAACAGGGAUUAGAUACC